AACCCACCCCCACCCCAGUAAAUUGUUGACAAAAAUAACUAGGAUACACGUUUUUCUUGUUUACUAAAUAACGUAAGCUAUUUUCUUGACAUUUUUUUUGUAUGACUACCAUUAAAUGGAGCGUCUCGUGAUUUAAUUUGGUUAAAGUUUGUGGACAACUAUGAUCAAACUUUCGCAGGAGAAAACAUCUUUAUUGGAUGUUUGACACUUCCAUGUCGUGUAAAAGUAAAAAAAAAAAGAAACACAAUCGUGGAGUGAUAACCGUCAAGGGGCCACCUGGUUCGGUAUUUGAAGUACAAUACUGAAUUGAUUGAUUUUGGCAACGGAGUGAAUCGCGCCCCCAAGUGGAUGCAGCAAGUUAGUGCGCGCUGUGCGCAAUUAGAGCGGAGCUCCUCGCUUCCUCUGCCGAAACUCGCCUCAUUGCCUCAUGUUGAUGAUAUCUUAUCAUUUUUACGAUCAAUUUUUUUCUGGGGUGAUAACAAGAGCUUAGGUGUCGCGCCCAUUCAACUAAACACUGCUUCUCCGGCAACUGCCCACAAAGUGAAGCGAGGCCCCUCCUCCCUCCGCGACUGUGGUGGAUAUUCGCUCGAUUGGCACGACGUUUCUUUUUUUCAGGAUUUGUGAGUUGAAACAUUACAUCUUCUUUAAGCGUAAAUCCUCCCUUGCCCAUGCAAGAUGAUGACGCCUGUGCCUGGCGGUGUGGCCAGACACCCUUUCACGUUGUCUAGUGCGCAGACCACGCUGAUGUAAACGGUUUUGAAUGGUCUGACGUGACACUUGGGUGCCUCUCAUCUCCCUUAAACGUGCCUGUAAUUGAGUCUGAAAACGUCCUGUUUGAAGCAUGACAAUGGCAAGGUACUGUUGAUCCAUUAUUAGGUGUCAUCUGGGUCUCAUGAUGUCAAAAUGUGAACAGCAUGAUGAGGACGACUGUUUAAACACCAACUCUAAUUGAAUUUAGACAUGUAUUGGUUGAAUCAAGGAUCAAAUACCUAUUGUGUAUUUUAAGCUCCUCGUUGGAGGACAGCAAUUUGUGCAAAUAGUACUGAAACACUGGACAUGUGCACUCAAAAGCUUGGAGAAGGUUACAUUAAGUUCACCUGUAAAUGUUUGAAUGCAUUUUAGGCUCGUCCUGAAAUUUAGCCAAAAGCCAAAUAUCCCUAACUUUUUGUGAGUCGGGUCUAUUCAAAACAUAUUUGUCUUGAUAAUAUAUCUGAGCAUCUGAGCACCAGUGAAAUGUGUUAGCUUCUGCAUAUAACUUCCCUCGCUGUCUACGUCAUCCUCAUUAGACAUUUGACAUGUCCCAAAUAUUUAGUUUUACCAAAUCAAUGAGAA
Molecule: long non-coding RNA, 1332 nt
Organism: Hippocampus zosterae (dwarf seahorse)
Lineage: Eukaryota; Metazoa; Chordata; Actinopteri; Syngnathiformes; Syngnathidae
Exons: 2
Source: RefSeq, a predicted model, not a curated record